Molecule: RNase P RNA, 313 nt
Filed under: Seleniivibrio woodruffii
Lineage: Bacteria; Pseudomonadati; Deferribacterota; Deferribacteres; Deferribacterales; Geovibrionaceae
Description: Bacterial RNase P class A
Rfam family: Bacterial RNase P class A
About the family: Ribonuclease P (RNase P) is a ubiquitous endoribonuclease, found in archaea, bacteria and eukarya as well as chloroplasts and mitochondria. Its best characterised activity is the generation of mature 5'-ends of tRNAs by cleaving the 5'-leader elements of precursor-tRNAs. Cellular RNase Ps are ribonucleoproteins.
Source: RNAcentral
GACGGUCGCCGGCACAUUGUGCGGGAGGAAAGUCCGGACACCGAAGGGCGGGAUGGCCGAUAACGUCGGCCUGUUGCGAAACAGGGACAGUGCCACAGAGAACAGACCGCCGCACGAAAGUGCGGUAAGGGUGAAACGGCGGUGUAAGAGACCACCGCGCCUGCGGCAACGCAGGCGGCAGGGCAAACCCCAUCCGGUGCAAUGCCAAAUAGGCAGACAGUUAAGAACGGCCCGUUCUUUGUCUGCGGGUGGGCAGCUUGACCCCGUGAGCAAUUGCGGGGCUGGAUAAAUGACCGUUAGAACAGAAUCCGGC